GAUGAACGCUGGCUACAUGCUUAACACAUGCAAGUCGAGGGGAAACGCCGGGGAAUCUUGCUUCUCCUGGUGUCGACCGACGCACGGGUGAGUAACGCGUAUCCAACCUGUCUCUGACUGAUGGCUAACCCGUCCAACGUCUGCCUAAUACCUCUUUUCAUCGUCUGCUGGCAUCCAACGACGAUUAAAGCUUUCAUCGGCCAGUGGAGGGGCUGCGUCUGAUUAGCUUGUUGGCUAGGUAACGGCCAACCAAGGCGACGAUCAGUAGGGGUUCUGAGAGGAAGGUACCCCACAUUGGAGCUGAGACACAGUCCAAACUCCUACGGGAGGCAGCAGUGAGGAAUAUUGGUCACUGGGCGAGAGCCUGAAACAGCCAAGUAGCGUGCAGGAUGACGGCCCUAGGAGUUGUAAACUGCUUUUAUGCGGGGAUAAAGUGAGGGACGUGUCCUUCAUUGCAGGUACCGAAUGAAUAAGGACCGGCUAAUUCCGUG
This 491-nucleotide ribosomal RNA is filed under the name uncultured bacterium. Its description in RNAcentral is "partial 16S ribosomal RNA". It matches the Rfam family "Bacterial small subunit ribosomal RNA", at positions 28 to 507 of the family's 1533-position model. The record is from RNAcentral.